UAUUAAAAAAACAAGCUGGACUGA
RNAcentral lists this non-coding RNA (24 nucleotides) under Mus musculus (house mouse). Lineage: Eukaryota; Metazoa; Chordata; Mammalia; Rodentia; Muridae. The record is from RNAcentral.